Cyprinus carpio (common carp) is the source of this 700-nucleotide long non-coding RNA. The record is from Ensembl. Lineage: Eukaryota; Metazoa; Chordata; Actinopteri; Cypriniformes; Cyprinidae.
CCUGAGAAAUCAUUUGAAUAGAUCUUAAGUCCUGAUUGGUCGGUCACUGUGCAUUCUCUCAUUCUUCUACUCUCUUUCUCUCUCUGACAGCCAUCAUGAACAUGGAUUGCACUGUGGUGGAUCUGGAGAUGCUCCAGGCGCUGUAUGAAAAAGUUUCUGCCGCAGUUGUCAGAGGUUCCUCAGUUCUCGGAGCGGGCAGCCGGAGCCGAGGACAGGCAGAUGGAUUUACCCUUGACAUUCUGUCCAAGUUAAAAGAUGUCAAGAGCAGUGAUGCAGGUAAAGAAAUAUAUGUGUACCCACUUCCAGAGCCUCAGGAGUGUUUCUGGCUUCGCAGGUGAAGUUUGAGCAUUUUCAACGUGAACUCCGCAAGCAACGGAAAGAUCUAAAUGGUGAGAUGUGGACACAUGCAAACACAAAGCAUAGCAUAUACACACAGGCUUUACACACAAUUCCAUGCAUAUACAUGAGAUCAAAUACAUGCAAACACAUGUGGACAUAUACACAUACCGAUAAACAUGAACUCAAAUACAAGUGUGCAUAUACAAAAACAGACAGACAUGUUUAGUUUGUAUACACCAGCGCCAAUGACCCGUGUUCUCCUUUAGAAGGCUCAUUGAUUUUCAAAUGACUGUUUUUAUUGAGCCCCCAGCUGGCUGCCACAAUGAUCAAUACUGCAAAUGUGGUUUGUUAAAGGCUCCAG